This 218-nucleotide long non-coding RNA is filed under the name Elaeis guineensis (African oil palm). RNAcentral describes it as "long non-coding RNA (EGUI_LNC005710)". Lineage: Eukaryota; Viridiplantae; Streptophyta; Magnoliopsida; Arecales; Arecaceae. The record is from RNAcentral.
CUGGGUUCAGAGUGUGACACCUACAAAGAAAGAACUAAAAGCAACUCUGAAGAAAAUUCAGCAGAGAUGAGAGGAGUACAAGUCACUAAACAUGAUAGCCUCAAGAUUGAGCUGGCAUUACACUACCAUGAGAAGGCUAAGAGAGAUGUCCCGCAAGCAAGAAGCCAAAUAUGUUGAUCCAGAAAAGUCAAUUUUGUGAAUACAAAAUUGACAAUCGG